GCCAGUGAAUUGUAAUACGACUCACUAUAGGGCGAAUUGGGCCCUCUAGAUGCAUGCUCGAGCGGCCGCCAGUGUGAUGGAUAUCUGCAGAAUUCGCCCUUCAGGCCUAACACAUGCAAGUCGAACGAGAAGCCUUCCUUCGGGAAGGUGGACAGUGGCAGACGGGUGAGUAACGCGUGGGAACGUGCCUUUCGGUUCGGAAUAACUCAGGGAAACUUGGGCUAAUACCGGAUACGCCCUUCGGGGGAAAGAUUUAUCGCCGAAAGAUCGGCCCGCGUCAGAUUAGCUAGUUGGUGGGGUAAUGGCUCACCAAGGCGACGAUUCUGUAGCUGGUCUGAGAGGAUGACCAGCCACACUGGGACUGAGACACGGCCCAGACUCCUACGGGAGGCAGCAGUGGGGAAUAUUGGACAAUGGGCGCAAGCCUGAUCCAGCCAUGCCGCGUGGGUGAUGAAGGCCUUAGGGUUGUAAACCCCUUUCAGCGGGGAAGAUAAUGACG
RNAcentral lists this ribosomal RNA (499 nucleotides) under uncultured bacterium. RNAcentral describes it as "partial 16S ribosomal RNA". The stretch from base 71 to 499 matches the Rfam family "Bacterial small subunit ribosomal RNA", at positions 1 to 456 of the family's 1533-position model. The record is from RNAcentral.